UGGGGAAUAUUGGACAAUGGGCGCAAGCCUGAUCCAGCCAUGCCGCGUGAGUGAUGAAGGCCCUAGGGUUGUAAAGCUCUUUCACCGGUGAAGAUAAUGACGGUAACCUGAGAAGAAGCCCCGGCUAACUUCGUGCCAGCAGCCGCGGUAAUACGAAGGGGGCUAGCGUUGUUCGGAUUUACUGGGCGUAAAGCGCACGUAGGCGGACUUUUAAGUCAGGGGUGAAAUCCCGGGGCUCAACCCCGGAACUGCCUUUGAUACUGGAAGUCUUGAGUAUGGUAGAGGUGAGUGGAAUUCCGAGUGUAGAGGUGAAAUUCGUAGAUAUUCGGAGGAACACCAGUGGCGAAGGCGGCUCACUGGACCAUUACUGACGCUGAGGUGCGAAAGCGUGGGGAGCAAACAGG
RNAcentral lists this ribosomal RNA (404 nucleotides) under Actinomycetes bacterium. RNAcentral describes it as "Actinobacteria bacterium partial 16S ribosomal RNA". It matches the Rfam family "Bacterial small subunit ribosomal RNA", at positions 355 to 776 of the family's 1533-position model. The record is from RNAcentral. Lineage: Bacteria; Bacillati; Actinomycetota; Actinomycetes.